GAUGAACGCUGGCGGCGUGCCUAAUACAUUCAAGUCGAGCGAACGGACGAGAAGCUUGCUUCUCUGAUGUUAGCUGCGGACGGGUUAGUAACACGUGGUUAACCUACCUAUAAGACUGGGAUAACUUCGGGAAACCGGAGCUAAUACCCGCUAAUAUUUUGAACCGCAUGGUUCAAAAGUGAAAGACGGUCUUGCUGUCACUUAUAGAUGGAUCCGCGCUGCAUUAGCUAGUUGGUAAGGUAACGGCUUACCAAGGCAACGAUGCAUAGCCGACCUGAGAGGGUGAUCGGACACACUGGAACUGAGACACGGUCCAGACUCAUACGGGAGGAAGCAGUCGGGAAUACUCCGCAAUGGGCGAAAGCCUGACGGAGGAACGCCGCGGGAGUGAAGAAGGUGUUCGGAUCGUAAAAAGCUGUUAUUAGGGAAGAAAAUAUGUGGAAGUAACGGUGGAUAGAGUGACGGUACAAAAUCAGAAAGACACGGAUAACUACGGG
RNAcentral lists this ribosomal RNA (497 nucleotides) under uncultured bacterium. Its description in RNAcentral is "partial 16S ribosomal RNA". It matches the Rfam family "Bacterial small subunit ribosomal RNA", at positions 28 to 507 of the family's 1533-position model. The record is from RNAcentral.